Molecule: ribosomal RNA, 497 nt
Filed under: uncultured bacterium
Lineage: Bacteria
Description: partial 16S ribosomal RNA
Rfam family: Bacterial small subunit ribosomal RNA
Source: RNAcentral
GAUGAACGCUGGCGGCGUGCCUAAUACAUGCAAGUCGAGCGAACGGACGAGAAGCUUGCUUCUCUGAUGUUAGCGGCGGACGGGUGAGUAACACGUGGAUAACCUACCUAUAAGACUGGGAUAACUUCGGGAAACCGGAGCUAAUACCGGAUAAUAUUUUGAACCGCAUGGUUCAAUAGUGAAAGACGGUCUUGCUGUCACUUAUAGAUGGAUCCGCGCUGCAUUAGCUAGUUGGUAAGGUAACGGCUUACCAAGGCAACGAUGCGUAGCCGACCUGAGAGGGUGAUCGGCCACACUGGAACUGAGACACGGUCCAGACUCCUACGGGAGGCAGCAGUAGGGAAUCUUCCGCAAUGGGCGAAAGCCUGACGGAGCAACGCCGCGUGAGUGAUGAAGGUCUUCGGAUCGUAAAACUCUGUUAUUAGGGAAGAACAUAUGUGUAAGUAACUGUGCACGUCUUGACGGUACCUAAUCAGAAAGCCACGGCUAACUACGUG